CCCUUAGAUGUUCUGGGCCGCACGCGUGCUACACUGAUGCAUUCAACGAGUCUAAAACCUGGUCUGAUAGGGCUGGGUAAUCUUUUGAAAGUGCAUCGUGAUAGGGAUAGAUUAUUGAAAUUAUUAAUCUUGAACGAGGAAUUCCUAGUAAACGCAGAUCAUCAAUCUGCAUUGAUUACGUCCCUGCCCUUUGUACACACCGCCCGUCGCACCUACCGAUUGGAUGGUCCGGUGAAGCCUCGGGAUUGUGGUUCUUGCCGCUUUAUUGUGGCGUGACCGCGAGAACUUGUCUAAACCUUAUCAUCUAGAGGAAGGUGAAGUCGUAACA
Molecule: ribosomal RNA, 328 nt
Filed under: uncultured eukaryote
Lineage: Eukaryota
Description: partial 18S ribosomal RNA
Rfam family: Eukaryotic small subunit ribosomal RNA
Source: RNAcentral